Non-coding RNA from Lactuca sativa (garden lettuce), 2151 nucleotides. NCBI's taxonomy places the organism in Eukaryota, Viridiplantae, Streptophyta, Magnoliopsida, Asterales, Asteraceae. The record is from RefSeq and is a predicted model, not a curated record.
AGUAGUUUAUAAUUUUUUUUUUUUAAAUGCAAUAUAAAUUGUAAGAUUUUCAAUAGGUUUUUAAAGGUUUUAAAAAUAUGUAUAUAAUAAUGUAAAACAAGACACAACUAAUUAACUUUCUAGUUAGACAGACGUAGGGAAAAAUUCAAAAAAGGUCUUAACAUUUUCACAUGAUUACCCGAAAAAGAUAUUUUACGGUUUUCUUUUUCCGGGAAAAUAACUGGUAAUUUGAUUUUGAUUUUUAUCAUUUAAGGUAUUGUUUACUUGGUAAAAUACAAAAAUUUGUAGUAAAGUCAAAUUACAUGUCUGCGCGGCAGAUUAACGUGCCCAUUGUUUUUAGGGGACCAAAUGGCCCUGCUGCUGGUGUUGGUGCUCAACAUUUUAUCAUUAAACUCAUAAAUACCAAAAAAAAAAUCAUUUCCUUCAAAAUUUAUACUCUAAAUAAAUGUAUAUCAAACGUUCAAAAAAACUUAAAUACCAUAUAACUUAGGUAGUUGAGAAAUUUGUUAAAGGUAAUAAAUUGGUUUGUUUAUCUGAUGUGAUGGAUGCAGUGUUAUGGUUGCAUGGUAUGGAUCAGUCCUUGGUUUGAAAGUUGUUGUACUAUACUCCUUCUGAAGAUGGUCGUGGUCUUCUAAAAUAAAAAAUGUUCAAGAAUUGUGUUUGUGCACAAGAGACCCGUUGAUUUCAAGAAUGUAAGACACUCUUUUUUCAUGUUUCUUUUUAGCUUUAAUUCAAUAUAUUUUAUAUGUUAUAAUUCAUUCCAUUACAGAGUGUGAUUUGAUUUGUUGCAGGAAUUGUGUGAUGGGAUUUUAGCAUUUGAGUAUUAUUAUUUACACAGUUCACGUAUUGCCUUAUACUUUACAUGCAUGUUUUCUAUUUAAAAGCAAUGUCUAAUUAAUUAAUGCAUCAUUAAUUAAGCUACUCCCCAAAAUUUAUUGUAGCAACAUUAACACUCUGAAGGAAACAAGACAGGAUGGACUAUAUAUAUAGAUGCCUACCGUUUCCAAGAGUGAUUUGGAUAGAAAGGAAAAAAAGUCAAUGACUCAUCCUUUAGAGAGAAGAGAAUCGUCUCCGAUAUAAGUUGAUAAGUUUACAAUUAUACCCUUGAAAACUUCUCAUACACAUCAUGUGCUCCGAUAUAAGUUGAUAAGUUUACAAUUAUACCCUUGAAAACUUCUCAUACACAUCAUGUGGCACCACAGCUCGAAAGCACCAUGUGUGCUGUUAAUACUCAACUUUUCCUGUAUAAUGUUUUAUGUGAUGUGAAUUGCCACCACCAAAAAAAUUGGGUUUUGCUUUUCUUUUAGUUUGUUGUCUUUUGGUAUUCCAUUAAGUGUGGUAUUUAGGUCUUGGACCAUGUCAUAAUUUAUUAAUUUAUUGUCACAUAAUAUAUUAAAAACACAAAAAUAUCGUAUUUUAAUUUUCUUUACACUCUGUUGCUCGAGACUCUACAUUCCAACCCAUUAUUAGAUGUCAUUUACCAAUUUAAUGUAACCCGUUUAUGACCCACUUUAGUCAUUUACCAACAAAUGAUGGUUUGCAUGUCAGUUGAAGUUAUUAACAUUACUUGUCAUGUCUUAACAGCUAUUAGCCAUGAACAUUCAAUGCAUUAAUCCUGAAGGCCUUGCAAGUUUCCAGGCAAGGUUCUUCUACUAAUUUUCACUUCACUGUUUUUUUUUAACUUAUUUAUCAUAUUGGGUAAUUAGAGAAAAUGUAUAAAUAUAUUUUUGAAUUUAUGCAUAUUAGAGUAUUAGUACAACAGUCUUUUUGUUGAUUUGGGAAGUCCACCAUACUAUAUCUAUUAUUCAUAUAAGUUAUUAAUCUAUUAUGUAGAUUUUGAGUGACUUGAAGCAUGCUUUUUGGCCUUUUCAAGUAGACCAAAGUAAAAGCCCAUUUCUAAGAGUAGCAGAGCCUCUAACUGCUCUGAUAGAUCUACUGCAUAUAUUGAAAAAAGGUCCCUAGUAUCAUGUGGAAACAGAAGCAUAACAAUAAGAAGUAGAAACAAGGUGUUCCUUAAUAGCAAUGUAGUAUUAUGUUAUAUGGUUUGGGAAAAACUCUUAAUAACAAUGUACAAUCGGCUCCCCUUAAUACCAAUGUAUUACAAUUUUUUGACAUAAUUUUAUGGAUGAAAUUGAUUGUUUUGGUGUAUAU